GAUGAACGCUGGCGGCGUGCUUAACACAUGCAAGUCGAACGGAAAGGCCCAAGCUUGCUUGGGUACUCGAGUGGCGAACGGGUGAGUAACACGUGGGUGAUCUGCCCUGCACUUCGGGAUAAGCCUGGGAAACUGGGUCUAAUACCGGAUAGGACGAUGGUUUGGAUGCCAUUGUGGAAAGUUUUUUCGGUGUGGGAUGAGCUCGCGGCCUAUCAGCUUGUUGGUGGGGUAAUGGCCUACCAAGGCGUCGACGGGUAGCCGGCCUGAGAGGGUGUACGGCCACAUUGGGACUGAGGUACGGCCCAGACUCCUACGGGAGGCAGCAGUGGGGAAUAUUGCACAAUGGGCGCGAGCCUGAUGCAGCGACGCCGCGUGGGGGAUGACGGCCUUCGGGUUGUAAACUCCUUUCGCUAGGGACGAAGCGUUUUUGUGACGGUACCUGGAGAAGAAGCACCGGCUAACUACGUG
Molecule: ribosomal RNA, 468 nt
Filed under: uncultured bacterium
Lineage: Bacteria
Description: partial 16S ribosomal RNA
Rfam family: Bacterial small subunit ribosomal RNA
Source: RNAcentral